This 1138-nucleotide long non-coding RNA is filed under the name Sarcophilus harrisii (Tasmanian devil). RNAcentral's name for it is "lncRNA (ENSSHAG00000021755.1)". Lineage: Eukaryota; Metazoa; Chordata; Mammalia; Dasyuromorphia; Dasyuridae. The record is from RNAcentral.
UGAGAUUGUAUUUGAGUAGUAUAAUUUGUAUUAAACUAUUUAAGAUAAUGUCUUAUGCUAGGGAUGUCAGAAUACUGAUGUUACAUCUCCUAGCUGUGCAAUAUGUACAUUUCUAAAACUGAAUUCUGGAUAUACAUUAUAUUAUACAAUGUCAUAAAUAUGAACAAUAAUUCUGAGGAAUCUUUAAAUUUCAGAUAUUUAAUAGUAGAACUAAAUUGAGCAUGUAUCAUUUUGUGAUUCAGUUUUGAAAACAUUUGCUUUAACCAAACAAUCUUGAAUUUUAUGUGCUGCUAUUUUUGUGAUUAAAAUUUGCCAUUUUGCAGUAGCUUGUUUUCUGCAAAUUAAUAGUUAACAUGUCAUGUGGGUCUCUUUUCAUUUUCCAAAUUGACUUCGUGUCUAUGAGAUACUGAAGUUUUCUACUAAAAUAGUGAUAUCUAAGGGUCACAUAAUCUGCAUAAUUGCCAGAAUUAAGUAUAACAAUUUAAAAAACAAAAUGGAUAAAGGAUACUAUUGUUGAGGGUUUUUAUUUUUAUUCAUAAGCUAACAUUUAUAAAAGUUGUACUUGUAAACUUUUCAUUUUCUUUGUCAGAGUUUUUGAAAUUUUGGAUUUUGGUUCAGACCUGUGAUUUCAUUGGUAUAGAGAGUUCCCAGUCUCUCUACCAAUGCAGAUCAACAACUGUUCUCCAAUUUAUAGCCUUUUGGGCCUUGAAAUGUUAAGUGGGACUGCUUUUGGUCACCUGUCAGAAUGUGUGAGAAGUGAGAUUUGAACCCAGGGUCUUCCUAGCACUCAGGCCAUCUUUAUGUACUAUAUUAUAUCUCUCUUGGCAAAAAUCUAUGAGAGUUAAUUACAGAAUUAAACUGUUUUAAAGCAAGUUAAAAUUGUUUAAUGUAUUAAAAAUAGUAGUUAUUUUUAAAAUUUCUGAAAGUAUACCUGUGAAGAACAGUUUUCAUUCUAAACCUGAAUUUAACUUUCUUUGGUACAACUUUUACCUUGCAUGUUCAUUUUAGUAUUUCGGUAUUGGCGAUUUGACAUAUUUGGUGGAGGCAGAAGUUUAGCUCCAUUUUGGGACUUUUUAUAGAACUACUAUGGUAGUUCAUUAGCAUAGGAAAAUGUUCUUGUGGUUGAUAAUUGUCAGGG